This 82-nucleotide transfer RNA is filed under the name Cyanoptyche gloeocystis. RNAcentral's name for it is "tRNA-Leu". It matches the Rfam family "tRNA". From Rfam's summary of the family: Transfer RNA (tRNA) molecules are approximately 80 nucleotides in length. Their secondary structure includes four short double-helical elements and three loops (D, anti-codon, and T loops). The record is from RNAcentral. Lineage: Eukaryota; Glaucocystophyceae.
GUGGAUAUGGUGGAAUUGGUUUACACGCACGCUUGAGGGGCGUGUGGCUUUUGCCAUGCGAGUUCAAAUCUCGCUAUCCGCA